Non-coding RNA from Psilocybe cubensis, 82 nucleotides. The record is from the annotation of a RefSeq genome assembly. Lineage: Eukaryota; Fungi; Basidiomycota; Agaricomycetes; Agaricales; Agrocybaceae.
UCGUGUAUGGUGUAACGGCUAACAUUACCGCCUUUCAUUGAUAUGAACGCGGUAGCUCGGGGUUCGAUUCCCCGUACGCGAA